Molecule: ribosomal RNA, 495 nt
Filed under: uncultured bacterium
Lineage: Bacteria
Description: bacterial SSU rRNA
Rfam family: Bacterial small subunit ribosomal RNA
Source: RNAcentral
AUUGAACGCUGGCGGCAGGCCUAACACAUGCAAGUCGAGCGGUAGAGAGAAGCUUGCUUCUCUUGAGAGCGGCGGACGGGUGAGUAAUGCCUAGGAAUCUGCCUAGUGGUGGGGGAUAACGUUCGGAAACGGACGCUAAUACCGCAUACGUCCUACGGGAGAAAGCGGGGGAUCUUCGGACCUCGCGCCAUUAGAUGAGCCUAGGUCGGAUUAGCUAGUUGGUGAGGUAAUGGCUCACCAAGGCGACGAUCCGUAACUGGUCUGAGAGGAUGAUCAGUCACACUGGAACUGAGACACGGUCCAGACUCCUACGGGAGGCAGCAGUGGGGAAUAUUGGACAAUGGGCGAAAGCCUGAUCCAGCCAUGCCGCGUGUGUGAAGAAGGUCUUCGGAUUGUAAAGCACUUUAAGUUGGGAGGAAGGGCAGUAACCUAAUACGUUAUUGUUUUGACGUUUACCGACAGAAUAAGCACCGGCUAACUUCGUGCCAGCAGCCG